Molecule: ribosomal RNA, 490 nt
Filed under: uncultured bacterium
Lineage: Bacteria
Description: partial 16S ribosomal RNA
Rfam family: Bacterial small subunit ribosomal RNA
Source: RNAcentral
GGGGGGGGGGGGGGGGGGGGGGGGGGGGGGGGGGGCGGGCGGGGGGCGGGGCAAGGCUUGCGUUGGUGUGGUGGGAGGGGCGCACGGGUGCGUAACGCGUGGGCGACCUACCCUUGUCAGGGGGGUAGCCCGGCGGACGUCGGAUUAAUACCGCGUGCCCUCAUUUGGUGGCCUCUUUCGAUGCUCAACGCUUUAUCGGCCAAGGUUGGGCUCGCGUGACAUUAGCUUGUCGUUAAUGUAACGGCGUACCCAGGCUGCGAUGUCUAGGUGCUUUGAGAGGAGAAUCCCCCACACUGGUACUGAGACACGGACCAGGCUCCGACGGGAGGCAGCAGUAAGGAAUAGUGGGCAAGGGACGGAAGUCUGAACCAGCCAUGCCGCGUGCAGGAGGACGGCCCUAGGGGUUGUAAACUGCUUUUAUACGGGAACAAACGUCGGUACGUGUACCGGUCGGAGUGUACCGUAAGAAUAAGAAUCGGCUAACUCCGUG